This is a long non-coding RNA of Eptesicus fuscus (big brown bat), 501 nucleotides long. RefSeq lists it as uncharacterized. The record is from RefSeq and is a predicted model, not a curated record. The transcript is spliced from 5 exons. NCBI's taxonomy places the organism in Eukaryota, Metazoa, Chordata, Mammalia, Chiroptera, Vespertilionidae.
GCCAGAUGAUCCAGUUCCUCUCUGCAUGUCCUGGAUCUUCCAAAGUUGUCAUCCCAGUGCUGGCGCCCAAAGGGAGCAAGUUCAGAGCCACUAACCCCAGACUCUUCUCAUGUGACUUUAGUGAGUUUACUCCGUCUGCCCUCCUCUGGAGCCCAGGGUCAGUCACAUGUGAACAUAAGUCAGGAGCUGGACAAGCAUUACCAGGGUUCUGUGGGGUCCAGAGCAUCUUUCUCUGGUAUAUUCUCAGAGUCAACUGUAUGUGGAGCUAUCAACUUUAACUAGAAGAAACAAGACUAUGUUCCCCCUUCACGUGUGCUGGGAUCUCAGACAUCUGAAUUGAGCAGACUACAACAGCUGCAAUGAACGACGGGCUCGCUAACUGUCCAGGCUGGUGCUUCUGGUAUGCAUGGUACAAUCAGCCCAACUGCCAAUUCUCCUACAGGGAGCUAGACUACAUAUUGUUUUCAUUAUCUGCCUAUAUGCCCUCUGUUUUCACAUAAA